CCCAGCGCCGAUGGUCCAGAAGACGCCACAGGGAUGCUGCCUCAGCAGCUGAGCUUUUUCCAGGGGGGAUUUUCCCCGGCAGAGCCUCCUGACCCGGCGGAGGCAGCCAGGGAGACGGGUGUUAAAUAAACCAUCGCUGGGCGAAAAGGGGCAGAAAAGGGUCGCAGCAAAGGUGGCAGCUCCCGGUCGGCUCCCGCUGGAAGUGUCUCAGCUUUCCUCCUGGAGGCACCCGUGGAUAUUUUAUUUCCACUUAUGAGUCAGGCGACCCAAAAAGCCAUUUAAAAAAAAUCAAAAAUCGGAUGAAAAAAAAAAAAAACCAACAAAAAAACCAAAA
Motacilla alba alba is the source of this 334-nucleotide long non-coding RNA. RefSeq lists it as uncharacterized. NCBI's taxonomy places the organism in Eukaryota, Metazoa, Chordata, Aves, Passeriformes, Motacillidae. The record is from RefSeq and is a predicted model, not a curated record. The transcript has 2 exons.